CAGCAGCCGCGGGAAUACGUAGGGUGCAAGCGUUAAUCGGAAUUACUGGGCGUAAAGCGUGCGCAGGCGGUUCGGAAAGAAAGAUGUGAAAUCCCAGGGCUCAACCUUGGAACUGCAUUUUUAACUCCCGAACUAGAGUAUGUCAGAGGGGGGUGGAAUUCCACGUGUAGCAGUGAAAUGCGUAGAUAUGUGGAGGAACACCGAUGGCGAAGGCAGCCCCCUGGGAUAAUACUGACGCUCAUGCACGAAAGCGUGGGGAGCAAACAGGAUUAGAUACCCCAGUAGUCCCUGUCUCUUAUAC
RNAcentral lists this ribosomal RNA (301 nucleotides) under uncultured bacterium. Its description in RNAcentral is "partial 16S ribosomal RNA". It matches the Rfam family "Bacterial small subunit ribosomal RNA", at positions 509 to 807 of the family's 1533-position model. The record is from RNAcentral.